GAGAAACAGAGUGGAGACAGUUGUGGGUGAGGAAACAUGGGGCAGAAAGAAUGACUGACAGAAGAUGAGAAAACUGAGUGACAUAGUGAGGAAUGAGAGAGAGGGGGAGAAAGAGGGAGAGGGAGUGAAUGAGUGCCAGUGAGAGAGGGACAUUAACAGAGAGAGUGAGAGAGACCAAGCAAGCAAGCAGAAUGAAUAGCAAACCAUGACCACUUCAACAUGAACUGUUAUGGUUGCACAUCGAUGUUCCUUAAAGGAAAUGUUGCAGACGGAAAUCUCUCUUCUCCAUCCAUUAAUUAAAAUUGUUUGCUCUCAUUUUACCACUUUUGGCUCUAAAUGUCCUCAGAAGCUGGACAAUUCAACCACAACAAGACGAACCUGUAUUCUCUAAUACUUUAAUUCUGUCUCAAGAUUCUGAAGACUCAAGAUUCUGAAGACUCAAGAUUCUGAAGACAGCUAUUCGGAUAACUACUACUUUGAUCUGCCUGAAUCUACAGCUGUCCUGGAUCGGCCUGCAGUCAUUAUAGACCAGUGUUAACUGGACCUGUCCUGGAUCGUUCUGUAGUCAUUGUAGAUCAGUGUUAACUAGACCUGUCCUGGAUCAGCCUGUAGUCAUUAAAUACCAAUGUUAACUUGACCUGUUCUGGAUCGGCCUGUAGUCAUUAUAGAUCAGUGUUAACUGGACCUGUCCUGGAUCUGCCUGUAGUCAUCAUAGAGCAGUGUUAACUGUACCUGUCCUGGAUUGGCCUGUAGUCAUUAUAGAGCAGUGAUAACUGCAGCUGUUCAGUGUACUGGACUUGUUCAGGAUCAGCCUGUAGUCAUUAUAGACAAGUGAUAACUGCAGCUGUUCACUGGGAUCUGGCCUCAUUCAUCUGUGAGUCGCAGACAGUCCGGCAAGGAGAUGCAGAAGAACAAUAAGAAGAACCGAGUCCAGAACAUGGGCCAGCAGCAGAGAGCUCUAGCCUGCACGUCCUUGACCAAACCAAGCAACAAACAGCUGCAAGCCGAGGAGCAGUCCCCAUAGGCUCCAACUUGUCAUCACUCUUUUAUUGUAAGUCCGACACACAGUAAGUCUCUAAUGUUGCCCCAUCCAACAGCUUAAAUCAAUAAAUGCUUAGUGCACAGUCAGAUGCGCAUCACAUCACAGUAAAUAAGACCACUGAUGCUAACCCAGUCAGUCGGUGAUGAAAGAAUGGGGGGUAAAAAAAUAAACAGACUGGCAGGUAAACAGUUUAGUACGGUGACCACAUUUAAAAUAUCCAAAUGUGGGACAACAGGAUGAUUUUGCUGGUCAUUCACAGUUUUGGUCGCAUGAAUUUGUUUCUUUUUUUGACUAUUCAGCAAACAAUACUAAAAUCUCAUAAGACAUUAGGUAGUGUGCUUGGUGUGACUAUUAUAUUUGUUUGUGUUAUGUAAAAUAUUAUUAAUCAUUUUGUGAUCUUCCAAGACAUUGAUUCAGCUUUGAUUCAACUUGACUAAUUCAGCACCAUUGUGAGACGUGGUGGAGCAACACUCUGGUGUACUCAGGCAGCAUUACAGCCCUGCACCGAACGAGCUAAUUGAAGUGCAG
This 1570-nucleotide long non-coding RNA is filed under the name Salmo salar (Atlantic salmon). Its description in RNAcentral is "lncRNA (ENSSSAG00000110824.1)". Lineage: Eukaryota; Metazoa; Chordata; Actinopteri; Salmoniformes; Salmonidae. The record is from RNAcentral.